Oreochromis aureus is the source of this 698-nucleotide long non-coding RNA. The record is from Ensembl. NCBI's taxonomy places the organism in Eukaryota, Metazoa, Chordata, Actinopteri, Cichliformes, Cichlidae.
UUGAACUAAUUGUUAUCAGCCUUUCUGAAACCGAAUAUUCCGAGUUGGACAGUUCGGGGUUACUCAAUCCUGAGUAUCAUUUUUAACUCUGAGUUUUCCCUGUUUCAGAAAGCCGGUUUAGUGCAAACUCUGAGGCCCUGGUCCUGCACUGGUGUCUAUCAGCUUAAUGACUUGCAGAGAGAGGGACUGUGGAAACUCAGCCUGUUCAGAGGUUAUGGAGUUUUCCAAAAAGCCAGCAGCACAUAGCCCGGUGGCGAUGACACUUGGUCCCUGAGAUGGACUAGGUAUACAGGGAGUACCUCGCCCAGUAACAGCAGCAGCAGGACAAGCAGUGGAUGGAUGGAUGGAUGGAUGGAUGGAUGGACGAACAGACCAGAUGGUGCAAAGGACCUUACUAUGGAGUCAACCACUGACUGCACUGCAUAAAUCUGCAAGAUGACCUGGAUGGUGGAGCCCUUCGUGCCUCGCAGAAGCAUUUUCAGAACCUAAAAGUAUCUCAGAUUUCAAAGGCUGAUAUGAGUCCCAGAUUUCUGCUCACAUUUCUCUUUGAGCAGCAGUCGCACGCCGCCACAUCGCCACUCUGUCCCACAUCUGUUCCUGUCCCUUCCUGUUUUACAGCACACUGUCCUUGGAUAGCCUGAUAGGUUCUUAAAGUCCAAUUUAUCAUUGUUAUGCAUUUCUGCGAACAGCCUCCAGCA